This is a long non-coding RNA of Helianthus annuus (common sunflower), 1011 nucleotides long. RefSeq lists it as uncharacterized. NCBI's taxonomy places the organism in Eukaryota, Viridiplantae, Streptophyta, Magnoliopsida, Asterales, Asteraceae. The record is from RefSeq and is a predicted model, not a curated record. The transcript has 2 exons.
CCCCCCCCACACACACACACCUGAGUAACCUGACACCAUUGAAUAAUAAAAACUGAGUUGACCUAAGAUAGUAGUUUGAAUUUGUUUACUUUUGUUUGACCUGACAUAUGCAGCAAGCAAGUCAGUUGGCGUACAAGGUCGUUGGUGGUGUCAGACUGGAUGAGGCGUUUCAUCUUUGGGAGGGAUUCGAGUCAAAUAUGAGUUGACUUCAACAGAUGCGAUAUAUGAAUAAUGAUAAGUCCCUAAUUUUCUGGUUGUCAUAAAAGCAAGUUUUGGUGCAUGAUCCAUACAUUUUACCCGAUUCAUUUUUGUUUUGUAAACAUAUGUUGUUCUCUGUUUUUUUGUUAUGUUUUUUGUUAAUACGAAGCAAUAUCAUAAAUCGUAAAUCAGAUUCAGACAAGAGUUGCUAACAAUAUGCAUGGCGGAAUUGUAGGUUUCGUUUCGAUUUUGUUGUCUUGAUGUUCUUUAAUAUUUUUUACAAAUCUUUUUAUAUUACAUGUCGACACGGAUGCAAAUGGGUUUGCUCUAAGUUGUGGUGAUAUUUGUUACUGUUUGCAGUUGAGAUUGUACCUUGCCACUAAAAGCCUCACACAAAAUGUGUUCUUAGGACAAAGAUCUCGCGAGUAUUCUUAACAUAAAAGUUCAUGUGUGAAUGAAAUUUCUAGAGCAAUACACAUCAUCAAGUUCCUAGAAUAUCCUCCCGGUUCAGGGCUUUCGAAUAUUAGAAAGGAAGGCAUUUAUGCUAUUUUUUUGUUAAUGGCGUGGAGACUUUAAGUUGCUUGAAACGACAAGAAUUUUAAAGAGCGCAAUACCUCACAAUUCAGAAUAAAAAAUGACAUAAAAGAACUUCCUUUUGGUGGACGUUGAAAAGAUCGAAGGUUACUGGUAGUAAUCUCGCAAACUGGAACGGGUUUGCAAGUAUUGAUUUCCAGCUAGCUGUGUUUUUUUUUCUUUCUAAUGGUGUAUGCUGGAGUGGUUUGCUCAGUGAGGCAGUGGUUGUAUUUUUUUGUU